CAGACAGAUGGAGACAUAUACGAUUGUAUUGACUUCUACAAACAGCCAGGAUUUAAUCAACCUUUUUGGAAGAAUACCACAUUUCAGAUGAAACGUAAAUUAUUUAUGGAAGCAAUGAAAACUAAUGAGAAUUGAUGAAGAUGGCUUGACAAGAGCCAAAAUGAAUUCAAAGAUCAUGUAUUUGACAGAACCAGGAUAUUAUUACGCAAUACUUCAAAGAAAACCUGAUCUAACUAGGAAGAUUGAGGGAAUUCAAGCAGUUCAUUU
Juglans microcarpa x Juglans regia is the source of this 267-nucleotide long non-coding RNA. RefSeq lists it as uncharacterized. The transcript has 3 exons. Lineage: Eukaryota; Viridiplantae; Streptophyta; Magnoliopsida; Fagales; Juglandaceae. The record is from RefSeq and is a predicted model, not a curated record.